CUCAACUAGAAUGAGGUAGAGUCGAGGUAUUGGGUCACCAUGACGUUAUCAGUUCGAGAAAAAUUUGAU
RNAcentral lists this microRNA precursor (69 nucleotides) under Bombyx mori (domestic silkworm). RNAcentral's name for it is "mir-2816 microRNA precursor family". It matches the Rfam family "mir-2816 microRNA precursor family". The record is from Rfam by way of RNAcentral. Lineage: Eukaryota; Metazoa; Arthropoda; Insecta; Lepidoptera; Bombycidae.